RNAcentral lists this long non-coding RNA (563 nucleotides) under Junco hyemalis (dark-eyed junco). Its description in RNAcentral is "lncRNA (ENSJHYG00000014457.1)". The record is from RNAcentral. Lineage: Eukaryota; Metazoa; Chordata; Aves; Passeriformes; Passerellidae.
GCAAUCGCUCCUGCGAAGCCCUGGAGUUGGCCAGAAGUGGCUGCAAGCCCAAAACCAAAGGUAGUGGAGAAGAAGGGGCAAAGCCUGAAUUCCCUCCCUGGCAGGAGGCAGCACUUGCACAAGCUUCGGAUGCUGGACUUGACCCGCAAGCGACGAGAGGCGGAGCUGAAGAGGAAUCUCCACAGGGAGGCGAAAAUCAAUAAGCAAAACAUGAAGGAAUUGAGCCCCAAGGAUGUCCUUGGCACUCCCCAGAGAGGUGACAGCACCAGCAGCCCGGACCCCAUCCCUGCUGGGCACAAUCAGCGCUUUCCUGAAGACGACCCUGGACUCUGCAGGGCUGAGCCCUCUCCAGACAGGAGGGGGAAGGUUGACCUGUGGUUCUGCAGGGAGCCACGGACCAGGGAUCUGUUCUGGGACUCCUCCAGCACAGACUCAGAGGAGUGGGAAGAGAGGAUUCACCGCAAACCCACGCUCGUGAGGACCAAGACAGAGAGAAUUUCCCUCUUUGAUGACUUCUUUGACAGGGAUUUCUAGUGGCAUGUGCCAAAGAAAUGAGCCCCAGC